Nerophis lumbriciformis (worm pipefish) is the source of this 4901-nucleotide non-coding RNA. The record is from RefSeq and is a predicted model, not a curated record. Lineage: Eukaryota; Metazoa; Chordata; Actinopteri; Syngnathiformes; Syngnathidae.
GUCCCCCCCCCAGUGUUUCAGCCAUAUAUGUUUAUGUUUAGUUCUUAAAUGUUUAUGGUUCUUAUAGUAGUUCUUAUAUAGUUUUAGUUUUUAUAUAUUUAUGGGUCUUAGUGACGCAGAAGGACAACUAACUGUCUUGGUGUGAACAUUUUAUUUUUCCCCCCCCAAAAAAUGUCGGCCCCCAGCCUGCCGCUGCACACUCUUCAGAAGCAAUUUCUGGAAGGCUUGACCAGGUUCGCGUUAGAGUUCUUCCAAGACGUCGAGAAGGUAGUGACUAUUUACCAAGGGGAGAUGCUCCGAUACCAGGAGGAGAACCGUGGUCUGCGCUCCCUGCUGAAUGACGUCAUCCACCCGGAGAUGAAGGUGCACACUAAAGAUGGUAACAGAUCAACUACAACUGUCAGAGAGCAAGCACCCGAGCAGACCACGCCAGAAUUUGCAGAGCCACUGGCGAAAAUGGCUAAAACGGAACCGACGGAGCAAUCGAGGUUUGAUUCAUCCGAGUCACUGGCUGCCAAACAUGGGCCAAAAGACGUUUUGCAGCCAUCCAUUCAUGUACCCAAGGAGGAGCAAACAGAAAUAUCCGUGUCAUCUGAACUAUUAACAGAUCGGUUGCCUGGUAUACCUUCAGUGGUGCACAUGGAAGUAUCUAAACCAUACACUUUGGCUGAUACACCUCAUGGCUCAGAAACACACAUUUUACAGCCACUGGGCGUAACAAAAGGGCAGCAAAUUGAAUAUGAUAGACACUUGGCACCAGAAGGAGAAAGCAGAAGUGACAAUGGACUCACUGUAGAGUGUUUUAAAAGUGAGGAUGAUGAAGACACUGGAAGACUUGACAUCACUACCUCGUUACAAGAUAUGGCUUUUGGAAACUUCCACACUGCCACAGAAUGCCCUGGUCUUAGCAGCUGGGAAGACAUCUUUAACAAAGACCUGGGAUCUCUGGAGCCUCCAAAAACCUCUUAUAAAAAGAACAUGUUGCUGCGUGUUGUGUUUAGCGGGGUACAGAAGUAUCUCAGCAUGUGUGAGCCAACAUUCGAUGCCUUCCUGGAAGAAGUGAGCCUAAAGUUCCACAUACCACACAGCCAACAGUCAGAUUUGAAGGUGUAUAACCCGCCUGACACGGAAGUUGACGCGGCCGUCUUUGAAGAAGUCGUGAAGAAGUCAACUGGAACCUUCAGAGUCAUGCUGAGCAAUGAAGAACUUGUCACUCUGAACUUUACCAUGUGUGACACUGGGAAAGAAGCUGCCAGAAGAAGUCCACCUCAAAGGCCAAGUCAUGAUGCAAAAGCGUUGAUUGAGAACAUCCUAAUGACAAAGCCCGGUGGUGAACGCGUCAUGAAAGAGUACGCAAAAACCAAAUCCCUGACCGAUGCGACCAGGAGACAGAUGAUAAACAUCCUUGCUGCUGAGAUGACAAAAGCACACGGGACGUCUCCUCCUAAAAGUGUGAGAGUGAUGUAUGCACGGGGGAUUGUUGCUCUCUUUCCAUAUCUGGAAGACCCAUAUUCCAAACAUGGAUAUCUGAAACAAGCAAAUAUCUCCUGUCUGAUAUUUGAAAACAUAUCCAAAAGAUCCAACCAUUCCGUAAGCAUCCAAGCACCAUUUCUCACGCAAAGACUCGGUUGGAGGAAUUUGAGUGCGUUUCAAAAAAACUCUACUUUUGCGAGGAGCGGCCAGGAACAUUACUACGAUCCAGAGAGUGGAUCAGGAUACCUGGCGUGGCGGUUGAAGACCAUUCAAAGAAAAACUGCAGAGGGAAGAAGUGUCUCGGUUGAGAAAACUCCCAAAAAUGGUGGGCCGGGCAAAGAUCGGUCAAGACUCUUCACCAUGGACACGGUCCUGCCAUACCAGGAAGUGGAAGCAGCUGUGGAGGUUCUAAAGCACACUUCUGAUGAAGGCACUAUUCGCGAAAAGAUGAAAGCCACCUUCAUUUAUCGUCGUUCAAUGGUGAAAGACGACAAGAAGUCCGCAGAGGUCUUCUCAGUCUUCCCGCGGUAUCUGGACACACCAGGACUGAUUGAACAAGACUUCCGACUCCUGUUUGGCGAGGUCACCGCCAACAAACUCUUGGAGACGUGGUCCAACGGUCUCAAAGCAAAAAUUGUGAGGGAAAGCCAUGGACUGGUACCCACCACAGAGGUUUUGGAGUUGAUGUGCAAUGCCAAGUCAGGCGCUGACACGGAGAAUGGCUGGGACAGUGACAUGUCUGCUGUCUUGCUGCUGCUACAUCUCCUGCCACCAUCUGCACAAGGACGCAAGAGACCAGGAAAGAUGUCUGCAUCCCAAGCGGCUGAUAACCUCGUCAAAUUCCUCAAGGAAUGCAGCAGUCCACAGCAGCAUCUGGACUACACCACCCACACCUGUCAGCCAUACCUUCUAGUCCAGGGACCGACCAGGAGCAGAAUCCAGUCUGCCUUCAUCGUGAUGGACAACCACGCUCUGCCAUCCAAGGCUGCGGGUUCAUUAGCAGCUCUCGAUGAGCUCUUUAAGGCCUACUAUGUCUUUGGCAGGUCCUACACUUCUUCCCUCACCAACUUCUGGACUUUUCUGCAAACCACCAUUUAUAACAUUGACGUGGGGGAAACCAAGGAGAGUCCCCGGGUUGCAGAACUGCGAGCAAGAAUGAUGCGCUAGUAUCGCAGCCAAGAAUGAUGCGCUAGUAUCGCAGCCAAUAAUGAUGCGCUAGUAGCGCAGUCAAGAAUGAUGCGCUAGUAUCACAGCCUAGAAUGAUGCCCUAGUAUCGCAGCCUGGAAUGAUGCGCUAGUAUCACAGCCAAGAAUGAUGCGCUAGUAUCGCAGCCACGAAUGAUGCGCUAGCUAAGAAUGAUGCGCUAGUAUCGCAGCCACGAAUGAUGCGCUAGUAUCGCAGUCAAGAAUGAUGCGCUAGUAUCGCAGUUAAGAAUUAUGCGCUAGUAUCGCAGCCACGAAUGAUGCGCUAGUAUCGCAGCCAUGACACCUUUUCUUGGUCCAAGUCUCCUUUCACUGGCCGCCCAGUUCUGUUUGAAACGUGGGGAGACUUUCAAUGUCUGGAGACAAAUUCAACAUAGUCCAAAGACUGGAGCGCUCCUGGACCAAAGAGGUUUCAACACGGUGGUGUGUUGUCAGCCUCGUGUUCCAUCCCUGCUGGGAAUAUUUCUUCAUUUAUGUUUGUUAAUGAUCUUAACUUUGUUUACCUCCAAAUAACUCUGAAUUAUAAUCUUUAUGCACCGCACCAUUUGUUUCCAUUCUUGGGGGUAACUCUCCCACUCACAGUCAAUUGUCCAUUUAAAAUCAAUACUUUUUAACAACACUAAGUGCCAGUUCUGUGAUGAACUACAUUCCUCCAUAAAAUAGAUAAACAGCUCUGAUACAUUUCUAUGUGUAGUAGACCUAAGAGUUCAUUAUGUACCACCAUAAUGACAACAUUAAAAUACAGUAGUGUAGUAGGCCUAAGUAUUCAUUAAGUACCACCAUAAUGACAACAUUAACAUACAGUAGUAUAGUAGACCUAAGUAUUCAUUAAGUACCACCAUAAUGACAACAUUAAAAUACAGUAGUGUAGUAGACCUAAGUAUUCAUUAAGUACCACCACAAUGACAACAUUUAAAUACAGUAGUGUAAUAGACCUAAAUAAAAGUGUAAAAAAAAAUGACAAAGUGGAAAAACCAACAUAAAGGCAAGUAGAGUGAUGAUAAACAAACCAUAUGGAAGUGGUUUAGAGUUUCUAGGUCACAUAAAUAAAAACCUCUUGAUAAGUUGAUUGGCAACACUAAAUUGGCCCUAGUGUGUGGAUGUGAGUGUGAAUGUUGUCUGUCUAUCUGUGUUGGCCCUGCGAUGAGGUGGUGACUUGUCCAGGGUGUACCCCGCCUUCCGCCCGAUUGUAGCUGAGAUAGGCUCCAGCGCCCCCCGCGACCCCAAAGGGAAUAAGCGGUAGAAAAUGGAUGGAUGGAUGGAUGAUUAAAAAUGUCAAAAAUCGUAAGAAAAAAAAAAAAAAGACAAAAUGGAAAAAUCAACAGUUUAGUGAAGAUAAACAAACCAUAUGGAAGUGGUUUAGGGUUUAGCGGUCACAUGACUAAAAAGCUAUUGACAAUUACAAUUUUCAAAAAUGUAAAAAAAUGUUCAAAAAAGAAAAUGACAAAGUGAAAAAACAAAACAAAGCCAAGUAAUGAUGAACUUUUUAAAAAGUGCUUUAUGGUUUCUCGGUCACAUGACUAAAAACCUAUUGACAAUUAACAUUCGAAAAUGUUAUCUUUGUGCCUUGAAUACAGAAUGUUGCCGUCAGUCAGUCAGUCAGUCAGCGACCACGUCAUUCUUGCUUGUAUGUAAAUGUUGCAUAUUAAAAAUAAAGGUUUAUAAAAAUAAAUAAAUAAAAAAUAAUCAACAAGACAGACAUUCAUUUUCCCUCAGUGACCGAUGGGGGCAAAGGUGGCGCACUGCGUGAGAAAUCAGCGAGAGCAGCAGCAGCAGCAGAAGAAGAAAGGACUUAGUAGCGACCAAUCAAAUGAGCUCCGGGGAGCAAAGGGGCGUGGUCAUCCCUGCCCUGUGCUCGGCUUUCUAAACUCCCCUCCCGCGGCAGGUAAUAGAAAAUAAAUGUGUUUGUGCGUCCAUAAUAUACUUAAUUUACUAAAUAUACUUCACCUCGGUGGAAGACCAAAAACUGAAAUGUCCACGCUGGUCGCAGCUCGGGCAAGAUCCUCUGACGAGCCCUCCCCCCUUUUUUUAACCGCAGGAACUUACCUGCGGGAUGAAAAAACCCUCACCGAAAACUGAAUAAAGUUCCAGAGGAAGGCCCUUCAGAAGCGACUUAUGAAAGACAUGACUGCGCCGAUAGUCAAGUUCUUCCAAGGCGUGGAGGGUUACCAGGGUGAGGUCAUCCGCCGUUACCAAGAGGAGAACCGCCGUUACCAAGAGAAGAAC